CUGCAGGCCGGGGAGCCCAGCCGGGGGCACCCUCAUCCCAGGCUGACUGACGUCCCUGGCACCCAAAGGUCGCGGGGAGUGCGGGGCCAGGGUGCGCCCUCCCUCCCCCUCCAGCCAGUGAAACCCGGGACAGCGGCACCCAGUCCCAGGGCGGAGGCCGUCUCCGCUGCGCGCAGCGACGCACCCAGGCCCAAGGGCCGGGAGAUCCGCGGGGAACCCGGAGACCUGCGUCCCAGAGGGGCCGAGGGUUGCGCCGCGCCCGCUCCCACGGGCCUCUUCCGAGAGGACGCUUCUCCCGCGUGUCCGCGGGAAGUCCUCGGAUCCUGGAUAAGAAAGAGCCUUCUCUCACCGGCUCCCAGACCCCGCGCUUUUUAAUACCUGUCCUGACAGAGCGACUGGUCAUUUUAGGCCCGAGUCAAGCCUCUCUUGAUUAAUAAAUGACCAUGGCUCGUUUUGUUUUAA
This 462-nucleotide non-coding RNA is filed under the name Pongo abelii (Sumatran orangutan). The record is from RNAcentral. Lineage: Eukaryota; Metazoa; Chordata; Mammalia; Primates; Hominidae.